Molecule: long non-coding RNA, 2173 nt
Organism: Arvicola amphibius (Eurasian water vole)
Lineage: Eukaryota; Metazoa; Chordata; Mammalia; Rodentia; Cricetidae
Exons: 2
Source: RefSeq, a predicted model, not a curated record
UUCAGCUGCAGGUUGGCAGAAUGAAUUGCUCCAGGGUGGGAAUAACAUACAUGCUCCCCGUUGCUUGUCUGUUUACAUAGGUUACGGAUCACGGGCUGCUUCUUCCCAAGACCAGAAUGCUGGGCAUGACAAGAAGGAGGGACCCACAGAGGAGAGUGGGCCUAAGGUAUGGGGGAGCCUGGCCACCAGACCCCAGGGUAUCAGCCUCACUGUGUACUCUAUUAUCUUCAAGAGGAGGCAAUGGGAUGAGUCUCAGAUGCUUCACAGUGCCCAGAGGGAGAGAGUGGCUCAGCACUCAAUCUUGUUUCCCAGUAGAAGGAAAAUGCAAGGGGCGGGGCUAUGGAGGACUUGGACAGCCCUGCAGCUGAUGGAAGAGACAUCCCAGAUUACAUUCAAUCAAAACACAUCCUGGACAACAGAACGCGGACAGGGGACAGGUUUGCUGACCAGAGCUGGUAAUCACCUACACUGUCUUCUUGAGUCACUGUGUUGUGGGGUACUCACCAGAGAAGACUGACUGCUUGGACAUGGGCUUAAGCCAAUACAAAGUUUUUAUCAGUCUUUAUUAGGUGUUCGGAAUCCCAGUAGCCUUUCUCAGGGUGAGCUUUUAAGCACAAAAACCCAUAUUCUUGGUUGACAUACUGCAGUUAUUAGGAGCAGUGAGCCAGAAACAGAACUAUAGAAACCAAAAACAAAUACCAAAUAUAGUACAUUUAGAGACUCUUUCAGAACUUUGGACUUUGAUAGUUCAGGUCUUUGUUUUCCUUUUUCGGGUGGUGCUUUUUCUAUGUGCUGAGUUUUCUGGCCUGAAUGUUGCUUCCAUCUUGGAGGUAGUUGUGCUAAGGUCCCCCGGGGCCUACCAAGAUUUGAAGCUCUGUUACAAUUACCCUCAUCCUCCACAGAGCAUGAAGACAGGUUUCACAAUUCUGUAGAAGUUGAACUGGCUGGGCUGCACUCCUAACUCCUGAUUACUGGGCUCAAAGCCUCCUCAGUCUCUUCCCGAAGAGCCUGAGGGCUACAAAGCUAUUUCUCUAGGAGAGUAUCAGCACCACUGAGCAAGGAAGAGGCAAGCAAUUAUUUUAAAAACUCAGGGCCAGGCUGGAGAGAUGACUCAGAGGUUAAGAGCACUGGCUGCUCUUUCAGAGUUCCUGAGUUCAAUUCCCAGCAACCAUAGGGUGACUCACAACCAUCUACAGUGGGAUCUGAUGCCCUCUUCUGAUGUUCAGGCAAAGUAUUCACACCUAAACAAGGAAACCCUCAGGGCUACAAUGUUGCUCUUUAUGAGAAACCUGAGGGAGGAUUUCAGGGAAUUUUGCACUGCCUGUCAGAGCAGAAUAACCACACAGAGGCAGUUUCUUGUGCAACUGUACAGCAUGUGGAAUGGGUAGAAAGUCACUUAACUGUCAAGGUGACAUUAGCCCAUGCACCUGCUCUGAGCUUUGAGUGUGGUACCAGAACACCACAGACAAAGCCGGAGGAACACAGACUCCUGAGUCGGCCCUGUCUUGUGUCUCCCGAGAGCUUGAGAAGUUUGGUUUCGAUGUUUCUGAAAAUGUUGCUAUGUCAGUGACCUGUGGAACCUCCCCUUGAGGCUUUUAAAGGGGGACUACACAACUCAGAAGUGUGUGGUGACUCAUCUGUCUGGACUGAAGCCCAGUACUGAGGGAUACUCACUGAGGGUUUCCUAUGCACUAGGAACUUGGUGUAAGCUGAAAUAAAUCCCUUUCUCUCCUAAGUUACUUUUGAUCACAAUAUUUUAUCACAGUAAUAGAGGAGCAAGCUAGGACAGACUGCAUCUCUGACAUGCAAAGACCUCCUUUUCCCUCAGGAUCCUUUUAUUUUUAUUCUUUUUAAAUUUAUUUAUUUUAUAUGUAUGAGUGUUUUACCUGUAUGUAUAUACAUUGUGUAUGUGUCUGGUACCCGUGGAGGCCAGAAGAGAGCAUAAGAUCUCCAGGAACUAGGAUUACAGGAUGGUUGUGAGCCACCCUGUGGUGCUAGGAAUCGAACUUGAGCCCUCUGCAAGAACAACGGUGCUGUAAACCCCUGAGUCAUCUCUCAAGCCACCUUGGAAACCUUUAAGAAUAGACGCCCUGCUUCAUAUGCUGGGACUAAAGCUUCUUACUUCAGGGCCUCUCCCACUGCUGCCUCAAUAAACGCCUUGCCUGAAGGACUA